Molecule: ribosomal RNA, 500 nt
Filed under: uncultured bacterium
Lineage: Bacteria
Description: partial 16S ribosomal RNA
Rfam family: Bacterial small subunit ribosomal RNA
Source: RNAcentral
AUUGAACGCUGGCGGAAUGCUUUACACAUGCAAGUCGAACGGCAGCACGGACUUCGGUCUGGUGGCGAGUGGCGAACGGGUGAGUAAUGUAUCGGAACGUGCCCAGUCGUGGGGGAUAACGUAGUGAAAAUUACGCUAAUACCGCAUACGAUCUAUGAAGGAAAGCGGGGGCUCGCAAGACCUCGCGCGAUUGGAGCGGCCGAUAUCAGAGUAGGUAGUUGGUGGGGUAAAGGCCCACCAAGCCAACGAUCUGUAGCUGGUCUGAGAGGACGACCAGCCACACUGGAACUGAGACACGGUCCAGACUCCUACGGGAGGCAGCAGUGGGGAAUUUUGGACAAUGGGCGAAAGCCUGAUCCAGCCAUUCCGCGUGCAGGAUGAAGGCCCUCGGGUUGUAAACUGCUUUUGUACAGAACGAAAAGGUUUCUACUAAUACUAGGAGCUCAUGACGGUACUGUAAGAAUAAGCACCGGCUAACUACGUGCCAGCAGCCGCCGUAA